UGAGGAAUCUUCCACAAUGGGGGCAACCCUGAUGGAGCAAUGCCGCGUGCAGGAUGAAGGCCUUCGGGUUGUAAACUGCUUUUGUACGGAACGAAAAGCUUCUGGUUAAUACCUGGGAGUCAUGACGGUACCGUAAGAAUAAGCACCGGCUAACUACGUGCCAGCAGCCGCGGUAAUACGUAGGGUGCGAGCGUUAAUCGGAAUUACUGGGCGUAAAGCGUGCGCAGGCGGUUAUGCAAGACAGAUGUGAAAUCCCCGGGCUCAACCUGGGAACUGCAUUUGUGACUGCAUAGCUGGAGUGCGGCAGAGGGGGAUGGAAUUCCGCGUGUAGCAGUGAAAUGCGUAGAUAUGCGGAGGAACACCGAUGGCGAAGGCAAUCCCCUGGGCCUGCACUGACGCUCAUGCACGAAAGCGUGGGGAGCGAAC
RNAcentral lists this ribosomal RNA (426 nucleotides) under uncultured bacterium. Its description in RNAcentral is "bacterial SSU rRNA". It matches the Rfam family "Bacterial small subunit ribosomal RNA", at positions 355 to 773 of the family's 1533-position model. The record is from RNAcentral.